This 23878-nucleotide long non-coding RNA is filed under the name Gossypium barbadense (sea-island cotton). RNAcentral's name for it is "long non-coding RNA (GBAR_LNC019420)". The record is from RNAcentral. Lineage: Eukaryota; Viridiplantae; Streptophyta; Magnoliopsida; Malvales; Malvaceae.
AAAUUCAAAGAAAAAAAAGGUGAUCUCUAUUAUAUAUAUUCAUUUUUGCUGUAAGGUGUCCUAGUUAGGUAUAAACGGGCAUAAUAUCAUGGUAGUAAGUACUCUGUCGGAUACAUAUUAUUUCAGUCGUCUAUAUCGAUUUUAUUUAUUUGUACCUACCGUUUAAUUUUUUUAUAAUUACAUUUAAAAUUAAAUAUAAUUAUUAGAUUAACUUAUUAAAAUUAAUCUAUUUUUUCAAAUUUUCGUACCUACAAUAUAAUGCUCUUGUCACAGUUGAGAAAUUUGUUGGCAACUAUUUAAUUUUAAAACUUAUAUUGACAUGUAAAUAUAUUUAAAUGAACCUAAUUGAGAUAUAUUUUCUUGUAUAUAUAAUAUACAAUUUGUUAAUAAACCAAAAAUUAGACUAUAAAUAUGUGUACAAAUAUUUAUAAACUCGAAAAACAUCAAUACUGAUACCAAAAUAAAAAUGAUACUUUUAUCGGUAUUGUACUGAUUUCCUUACUUCAUACAUUCAAAUAUGUUAUUUAGAAAAUAGAAAAAAUUUCUAAAAACCCUUCUCUUAUAGUAUUUUUUAAUAUAAAAUUAUUAAAAAUCUAUGUUAUUCUUGGAAAAAUUUCUCUUAUCAUAAAUAUUAGAGUUGUGUGAUUCGAAUCCUUAUUAAAAUAAAAUACAAUGAUAAAACUAAGGGAUCUGUGUGGGGCUUAAGGCCAAGGGCUGAAGAAUAACAUAAAUGUUUUUUUAAAAAGCAUGAUGAUUACUACACGAUUGACUAAAAAGUUGGAUAGUACCAUUAGUGUAUCAGACGACAUGGGUGACACUGUAACAUAUAUCCCAUCUUUUGUAAAAAAUUUGUCACCCAUCCCAUUUUUAUAAUUAAUUAAUUUUUAAUAUUAUUUUUAUAAAAAACCGUUUCUAAAAUUAUUUUAAAAAUUAUUUUCAGUUUAAAAAACACAACUAUAAAUUAGAUCUGAAAUACCAAAAAAAUAUUUUAUAUUUAAAAAACAAACAUUAGAGUGAAGCAAUACAAACCUACACCUUCAGCUCCUUUUCAGAAGUGCUUUUGAAAAGCACUUCUGAAAAACUAAAAGUUUCAGCCAAAAACAGUUUGUUCUUCACAGUUUUUAUUUCAAAUGUGCUUUUGGAGUCAGAAUUGCUUUUUUUAAGCAAUGAAGAACUGGCCCUAAUUCCAACAACCACUCCGGAUUGUGAAAUGGCCACUUCGGACUUAUUUUGCACACUUGCAAUGAUGAUAGUCCAAGCCACAAUUUUAAAAGUUAAAACUUUUUAUUCCACGAAUUGUUGUAUUUUAAAAGAUUUAAAUAUAAGAGAAAUGUUUGUUAUCUUUUAAAAUUUAAAAUUAAAUUUUUAUGCUUCAGUUUUGGGAUAUUAAUUUUUGUAUUCUUUUUAUUUAAAAAUUUUAUUAAUUUAAUUUUUAUUCUUUAAAAUUAUAUAUUUUUAAAAAUUAAAAAUUAAUUCUUUUUAUUUUAAAUAAUUUUUUUCAAAUUUGAAUGUUUUAAUUUUUAAUAAAUUGGAUGUGCCAAAUUGCACAUAUUUUAAUUGGUGCCAUAUCUCAAUCAGUUUCCUUUUAAAUGAUUUGAUAAUUUAAAUAUUAGGCUGUGUUUGAUAGGGGGAAAACCAAUUCCAGAAUUGGUUUUACAGAUUUUCCAGUCUUUGAUAGCAGGAAAAUAUUUUCCUUUUGUAAAACCAAUUCCAAGACACGGGAAAAGCUAUUACAAAAUUGGGGAAAAUGUCUUACGCCCUUCAUUUCGAUAAGACAUUUUCCGUUUUCUCUCCAGCCAUCUAAUACUUCAUUCCUUCAUUUCCUUCCAUUGUCGACUGAUUUUCCCCCACAAUACGUUCUCUCCGACCACCAUUUCCGUCAAAUCUGUGGAAAAUUUCAGGUAAGACAUUAUUUGAUUUUUUAUGGUUAAGUAAAUUUGUAUGUUUUCCCCCUUUUCUUUCUUCAUAUGGGUUCAUGCACAUAUCUUUAGCCUCCACAUGAUGAGGUGGCUGGUUAAAUGGUUGCUAACCAAAGCAAAUUUGAAUAGAGGAUAGCUUUUUUUUCUUCUUUUUUCCCCUCUUUCUUUUGCGGUUUGGGGGAUGAGGUUGCCAUGUGUACGGUUUUGUCUAGACAAAAAUUGAUCUGCAUGGUUUUUAUGAUUCUCUGUUGUGUGCUGAUAAAACCAUAUAUUUGUAUGUUUUGCUCUGAAAUUGUUCCAAAGUCAUUUCUACUUUCUCUAGUUCUACAUGUUAAAGGCUAGAUUCUAUUUUCUGAACCGUUGGUUUUAGUGGAAUAGAAGUUUGCAAUGCUUAGAAUGCUAGUACAACUAAACUGGAUUUCUCAUACUGUUAUGCUUAGUGAAUCUUGCUGCUCCAAGUAUUUUCUCACCUUAUAAUUGUUGUUUUAACGGUAUGUUGUUUCACAGUGUCUAUAAAUGAGGUCUUCACUCACUCUUCACCCUACAAUCAAAGAGAAUUUGGCCCCUUCUACCCACAAUCAAAUAUUAUAUUUCAUCCCCCUAAACCCUCCCUCAUGUUUCUCUCUAUAACAGCCACACCCACCACAAAAUCUGAACAAAGAGGACACUAACGCAUCCCCAAUUUUACUGCCCAUUCUGUCGGCUGGUUCACAAAGCUAAUAUUUAGAACAAUAUUUGAUUUUUUUUUUCUUAAAGAACAAGAAAAGGUGAAAAUUUUGACAAAAAACAGGUAAUGUUCUAAAGAAGCAACAGUUUGAUGGUGAGGCUAAAAGCAAAAAGUCCAAAGCUCAGCUCAAUGCAUCAGAAAGGCCUGGUAGACUUGGCUUUUGCAUAUAUAAUUCAGUAUAAUUUUCCCAGCCCUUCACUUCCAAUUUAUAUGGUGAUCAUCCGUCCCCUCCCUCCGACAAACAAUCCGAAUUUUCUUCUCAUCAGCUUCUUGAUUUUUCUCUGAAUCCAGUUCUUUGGUAGCCCGUACUGAGACCCUUCAGUCACCAAGCAUAUGCUUCAAUUGAAUACAACUGAGGGACAGUCAUCGCCACUUAAUUGUCUAUUGUCUGAGGGGCUAUUCAAGCAAUCUGAACAAUUUCUAGGAGGUUCAUUCUCUCUAUUAGCUUUAAGCAUUGCAUAAUCUUUCUCCAACACCUUGGUCUUCCAACGAGCACGUCGGUUUUGGAACCAAAUAGCCACUUGCCUUGGCUGUAACCCCAAUUCUUCAGCUAACUUCACUUUUCUCUCUGGUUCUAACUUGUUUCCCACAUCGAAAUUCUUCUCUAAAGCCUUAACUUGAUGCAUAGAUAAACGCAUUUUCUUCUCUGUUGCUUGACCACCUUCUUCUAAGCUGUCUUCUUCAUCUAAACCAUCUAACAUAGCCUGGAAUUCCUUGCUGUAAAUUUGGUGCUUCUUUAAACUCUUCUCCUCUGCAUAAUCAACUGAAUUAAACACAUCGAAUUUGGGUUAAAGAAACAUGAAAUAAAGGUGGGAAUUAAAGAAAAAUAAAUGAAUAAAGGUUGUUUUUGAAAAACUAAAUUAUAAAUAUAUUAGAGUUUCAUUUUUUAUGUAUUUUUCCUCCAUUGGGUUAGUAUGUUUUGACACUAAUAUAAUUCUACAGAUUGAAUUAUAUGUAGAUACUGCUUACGGCUUUUGGAUAUUUUAUAUAAUAAUUGCCUUUAAAAAUAAGUUAAUUCAAAUAAGUUAAUUCUUUUUAAAGAAACUAAUCAUAAAUUAUGAAUAAGUAUUUUUCUUUUUACUUCCAUUCACACGAGCGAAGUUCACAUGUUUUUAGCUCAUAAUUCUACAGAUUAUUGUUAAUAUGGUAAUGAGAGUUGUUGAGGAUGAUUAAAUAUUAUAUCAGGAAUUAUGGAUGAAAUGUUGUAGUUUUUAAUUAAUAUCGAUAUAAAUUUAAUUAUUAUAGAAGUGAAAAGAUAAAAACAUGUGAUGUUUCUUUAAUUAUACAAGUUGGAUGUAAUUGUGUUAAAAUAAACUGUUGAAGAUGACCCAAUUUUUGUAUGUUUAUUGAUUUGGAUUUUGAUUAUGUUUAUUGAUGAUGGAAAGACUGAUGUUGUCUUAGCUUCUAUUUUUUAUUGCUCCCAACGGUUCUAAUUUCUUUGUAUGCUUGACCUCCAGCUGUAUAGUUAUUGCUGUCCUAGCCUCUACCUCAGGAUUCGUACUCGUGUUGGUGGCCUUGGUCGAUAUUUUCAUAAGAGGUUUGUGGUGUGCUUGAUUUGUGAUAAGCCUUUUAAUAUGCAUUUGUGGUUGUUAUAAUUCGGUUCAAGUGAAUUAAAUGGUUGUUGGAUGUGUUUGGGUAUGGUUUAUUAUUGAUUUACAUUUUUUCUGUAAUUUGUUGGGAAAUGGCAGUGAUGAGCUGUUAUAUUUAUGAUAAGACUGAUAUUUUUGUUAAUUAUGUCCGAAAUUUUAACUGUAUAUAUAGCAAUUGUAGCAGUGCAGUUAAACAUUAUUUAUAACAUUGUCAAAUUUAUAAUUUAAAAAAUUAUAAAAAAUAGAAAUAAAAAAAUUUUAUAACAUUAUCAAAUUUUUUUGUUUAUAUUGAAAUAAAAAAAGAAAACACACUUGAUAGCAAUUGAAGUAUUUAAAACUCUUUUAUAUUUUAAAAAAAGAGGCAUCAACAUUUAUAGCUUUUGGGCAAUAUAUUUUAAGUCAUGGUAACUUUAUAAAAACAUAUUAUUAACUAUGAUCAAUAUGUACAUGAAAGAUAUUUUAAGUCAUGGUAACUUUAAUACAUGAUCAAUAUAUUUAAAACUCUUUAAAUACAUGAAACAUAUUAUAAUUUAAAACUCUUUAUAAAUACAUGAUCAAUAUAUGUAUGUAUUGGUAACUUAAUAAUAUAUAAAAAACUCUUGCACCAAUUGAAGUAUUGUAUUAACUAUGAUCAAUAUUUAAGUGCUACUUUAAAAAAAUUAUUAUUGGGCAAUUAUAAUUAGCUUGAUAUGUAUGUAUGCACUUUUUUAGUCAUGGUAACUUUAUGUGAUCUUAUUAAAAUCUUGCAUCUUUUGUAGUAGUGAUUAUAUAUUUGUGUGGCAUUAUUUUGUGUAGAUGGAUCGUAAUCAAAAUCAAAUGGCAAUUGCCGGAGUUGUGGCUUCAGUUUUAGCUUUUGGGGCUCUUUGGAUUAAAAAAUUAGAAACUAGGAAGGAAAUUGCUUCUCGCCCUCGUGUGAAUCGAGAUUAUGAAAGAGAAAACUAUAUUAAUAGUAUUUUAUAUAGUGGUGACCAGCAUUGCAUUGAUAUAAUAAGGAUAAGACCGAUCGCCUUUUUUAAUUUAUGUGAUAUUCUUAGUACGAAUAAUUUGUUACAAUCGUCUAAAUCUGUCGAUAUUAGGGAGCAAGUAGUUAUAUUUUUACAUAUAAUUGGUCAUAAUGUAAGGUUUCGAGUGAUUGGAUCUAGAUAUUAUAGAUCAAUUCAGACAGUUCACCAUUACUUUAGGGUUGUAUUGAGAGCUAUUUUGAAAUUGUAUAGACUAGUUAUUAGAUUACCUGAUGAGUCAACUCCUAGUGAAAUUAGAAACAAUCCAAGGUUUUAUCCUUAUUUUAAAGAUUGUAUUGGAGCAUUAGAUGGAACUCAUAUUCGUGCAUCCGUUCCACUUAGCAUGCAAGGAAGAUUUCGUAGCCGUAAAGGGGGGACGACACAAAAUGUAUUGGCUGCCAUUACAUUUGAUUUGAAAUUUGCCUAUGUUCUAGCUGGUUGGGAAGGUAGUGCACAUGAUUCUCGUAUUUUAAGUGAUACACUUUCACGCCCAAGAGGAUUAAGAAUUCCAGAAGGUAAUAUUUAUCACAAAUAGUUCCAGUAAGCUCAUAGUUUAUCAGUAUUAAUUACGUAUUGUAAAAUUGUAGGUAAAUAUUAUCUUGCUGAUGCUAGAUAUGGCAUCCGAAUUGGAUGUAUUACCCCAUAUCGUGGUGUCCGAUAUCAUUUAAAAGAGUUUGGUGCUGAAGAGCCUGAAAAUGCAAAGGAACUCUUUAAUCUUCGACAUUCAUCAUUACGGAUCACUGUUGAACGUGUUUUUGGGAUUUUGAAGAAAUGGUUUCGUGUAUUAGAUGCUGAACCAUUUUGGAAUUUUCAAACUCAAGUAGAUAUAGUUUUGGCUUGUUGUAUCAUUCAUAAUCAUAUAAUUAGAGUUGAUCCUAGUGAUUUACUUAAUCAAGGAUUAUACGAGGAGUCUGAGUUUGAUUCGAUAAUACAAACUCUCACGGAGCGAGAAGAAAGACAAGAACAAGAGAAUGGUCUGCUAAGAGAGAUGAGAUUGCAGAAACUAUGUGGACUGAUUAUAUGGCUAGAAAUAUUAGGUAGAUUUAGGGCUUAGGGUUAUUAUUUCUAUGUUAUGUAUGUUUUAGACUGAUGUUUUUUUUUUGUAAAUGUUGGUUGGAUAAUAACAUUGUCAAAUUUUAGAUUGUUGGAUUUUGAUAUAUGUCUUGAAUUUGUUAGAUAUUGAUUAUGUUUUAACAUUGUUGGAUAUUGAAUUGAUUAUUAUGUUUUAAGCUUGUUGGAUAUUGAAAUUAUUGACAAUGACAAUUAUUAUGUAGAAUGGGUAAGGGCAACAAAGAAGGGACCUCCAAGCAAUUCAGGUGGACAAAACCGAUGGAACAUGUUUUCCUUGAAAUUCUAGCAGAGGAGGCUCGAAAAGGAAAUAAGCCUUCUAAUACUUUCAAAUCAGUUUCUAUUAAUCGAGUUGCCGACGCCAUUUCUUCUAGAUUCCAAGUCCAAUGCGAUACGAAGCACGACAGUAAAAAACCAGUGGCAGAUUAUAUGCAAAAUUCGAGGUGCAAGUGGUUUUGGAUGGGAUGAUAACAUGAAAAUGAUCACAUGUCAUAGAGCGACAUACGAUGCAACAGUGAUGGUAAUAUAUGUAUAUAUAUGUUAAGUAUAUUUCAAUUGUUUUUUACUUGUUAUUCUAAUUGUGUAUAAUAUCCAACAGGCACACAAGAAGUAUGAACCAUUUUUGAAUAAAAGCAUUGAUCAUUAUGAUGAAAUGGCUGUGGUUGUUGGCAAAGAUAUGGCAACAGGGAGUUUUGCCAGAACAUUUGCUGACAUAGAUUUGGAUGAUGGUAAUGAAGAUUCAAUGCCUGUAGACUGCGACAAUGAAGAGGCUGAAGAGGUAACACUACAGCAGAACAUGUUUUUAGCGGCGUUUUUUUUACCUUUAGCGGCGCUUUGAAACGCCACUAAAUCCAUUUCCAGCGCUUGAAGAAGCACCGCAAAAAAUGCCGCUAACGACAACGUCGCAAACAUUUGCGGCGCUUACAGAAAAAAAUGCCACUAAAGAUCAUGUUCUUUAGCGGCGCUUAGAAAGAAACGCCGCUAAAGAUCAUGUUCUUUAGCGGCGCUAAAAAAUAAACGCCACUAAAGACAAUGUUCUUUAGCGGCGCUCAGAAAUAAACGCCACUAAAGAGCAUGUUCUUUAGCGGCGCUUAGAAAUAAACGCCAGUAAAGAUCAUGUUCUUUAGCGGCGCUAAGGAAAUAAAUGCCGCUAAAGAUCAUGUUCUUUAGCGGCGCUUAGGAUAAAAACACCGCUAAAAGUACUGUUCUAUAGCGGCGCUUGUUUAAAAACGCCGCUAAAAGUAGUAUUCUUUUAGCAACGCUUAUUUCAGAAAUGCCACUGUUUGAUAUGACUUUUAGCGGCGCAUUUUUAAAAAACGCCACUAAUUUUAGAAUUUUUUUAAAAUAAAACUUUCUGUUUUUUUCUGCCCUCCUGCAACAAAAAAUCAAAAGCAACCAAAUCUAAACUAACAAAAAACAAUAAAUUUAUAUAAUAUUUCAAAUUAAAUGACUAAAAUAAUAUUAAUUGAUAUAAAUAAAAUUGAAUUCAUACUUUUCUUUACAAAAGCGUUAAAAGUAUUUAUGCAACAUACACUAUGACGGCGGAAGUUGCGACUGCUGAAACAUCUUCAUCAUAAUCUGAAGCUGCUGUUGAAGUUCGUCGUACUUUUUGCUCUGCUCCGCUUCCCUCGAUGCCGCAUCUUUUUGAAGUCGUAGCUGUAGUUCUUCAUAUUUCUUUUGAACAUCUACUUCUAUCGCUGCUUCUCUCGCUGCUUCUCUCACUGCAGCCUUUGCUUCUCUCGCUGCGGCCUCUGCUUCUCUCGUUACUGCCUCUGCUUUAAGUUUUUACUGAAGUUCUUCAUAUUUCCUUUGAACCUCAAAUGUGGUCGCUUGCAUCUGAGCCAUCUGGUCUUUUAACCUCUGAACUUCAACUUGAGAUUGACUCCCCGAAGCCAUGUAUUGGUGCGAGCUGGAUCCAAAAUAUUGGGUUGGGCUGAUAAAAGAUCCUUGAAAUCGAACCCGACCAUACUUUUCAGGACCAAAUACUUCAGUAAUAAUCCGGUUGUCAAUGUCUUCAAGAUGAACAGAACUAUCACUAGAAGCAAUCGCUUCGUACUCCGUCUUUUUUUCCUUUAGUUUUUCCUAAUAAAUAAAUCACAUAGUUAGGAACGCAAUAUAUAUAUAGUAAAAAAAACAAAUGCAAUAUAACAAUAGUCGCAUUACAAGCAAUGAAUUAAACCAUUAGAAAAUAAACACUAUAAAUAACUAAAACAAGUGAAAUCGUAUUAAGUAAACGUACCAUAAUUUCACCAGCUUCAGGAGUCAUAGCAGAUCCAUCUUUCUUCUUAUGUGUAAUUUCAAAAAGUUGUAGGCGUCCAACUUUUUGACCGGACGACCGUUCCUACAAUAUAGUAGUAAAAAUAUUAUUUAAUAGAAAGUUAUACAUAUUUGAGAAUAUUAAAAAAUUAAAAAUACCUCCGCCUCAGCUACACAUGUAAAACUUCUCGACCCGACUGUGUGAGUGAAUUUUUGUUGCUGCCGGCUGCUUUUUCCAACUCGUUCACGAUCCUACGUUAUAAAAUUUUUAGUACGUAAAUAGUAAAUACUAUAAACCAAAAUAAUUACAAUAGUUUGGAAGUACGUCGUACCUCGCCUUUCUGAGAAUGCCAAAAUCUAAUCGCAUCUUCCCAUUGGUACCACAACAUACCCGGCGGGACAUUUUGCAAUUUCUCAUCGAGGGUGGUUUUUGUCUUAUAAUAAUUUUUCUUCAAAGUACUUUUAUUGUCUCUCCAUAUUUUUCCCAAUGCCUUCUUUACAUAAGCAUCGGAGACCUCUAAAGCAAACCUCACCUACAAAAAACACAAGUUAAUAAAGUAAAUAUAAAUGAAACUAUUUCCCAAGCAUUACAGAUGACAUUAACAUUUUGUUACCUUAAUAUUAUCGAGGGCUUGGUUUUUGUUGAUAUCGGGCAUUUGACGCCAUGACUCAUAGUUGAUAGGCAACAUAUUCGGAUUUCGUGCUAAAAUGCCCAUGUAUCCUACUAAAAGUCGAGCUUCUGAUCCAACAGGCUGACCAAAACUGUUUCUGCAUACCUUGACACGCUUGACUGGAUCUAACUCGUAUAACUCUCUAAGUAUCGUACGUCAUCGACCUCUACGCGUCCCACCAUUUUCAGCUACAAAUGGUAUAUUAUAAUAUAAGAAUUUGAAAAAUAAAUCAAUUAUAAGUAAACACGCAUGGAAUUAAUGUAAGUUACUUUGAACUUCUGUAGGAUCCUCGUGUGUAAUCGAAACAUUCGAAGAUCCAAUUGCUGUCUGUUGUUCAGUACUAUUUGUUUCUAUCGAGUUUGGAUCAUUUUGAACAAUGCUUUCCCUUAUAAUUUUUCUUCUAGGCAUUUUAUCUGCAAUACACAUAAAAUGUAAUUAAACUUAAUAACUGAUUACAACAAUAACAGCACAUAUAAAAUAGUUGAGUUAUAUAAUAAGACCAAGAUUUAAUACUAAUGUAAGUUACAUAUAAUUAAACAAUCGUAAAAUCUUACUACAUCAUUAUUCGUAAAAAUCUUCAUCCGUAUCCUGACGAACCUAUUGAAAUUGUGCACUAGUACUAGGGAUAUUAUCGUUUAAGUUUUUUUCUGGAAAUGACAAAGUUUCUGAUCUGUCGUCGAUGUUAUCUCUACUUCCACUGCCCAUGUCAAACAAGUCUCUAGGGAUGUUACGGAGUACAACGUACCAACCCUCAUCAGUUGGAUCUUUUGAGUAAAAAACUUGUUUGACUUGACUUGAGAAUACAUACGGCUCAUCUAUCAGUUGUUGUCCUGUGUGAAUCAAUCGGUCAAAGUUCACCAUUGUAAAACCAAAUUGAUCUUGCUUGAUUCCACGAGCUGUAUUAACAUCGGCCCAAUCGCCUCGAAAUAAGACAACUUUCCAUUUUCCGUAGUAAUCCAACUCAAUUAUGUCAGUAAGCUGUCCGAAAUAUUCCACAUUUCCCUCGACUGGAUUAUUGUCCCUAGCGCUAGCAUAACUUGUAAUUGCAGAAUUAACAACUAUUCCACAAUUUUGCGUUCUCCUCAACCUCUCGCGAUAUUUUGUAUGAAAUCUGAAUCCGUUGAUGGGGAACGCACUAUAUCUUUUAACCACUCGAUUUGGACCUUGGGAGAGCCAUUUAACUUCGUCGUUUACGCUCUUCCCAUUCGAAACCUAUUGAAUGGAAAGUAAACUAAGUAAUUAAAAAUGUUAUGAGAAAGCAUUAUUAUUUGUAAGCGAAAGCUCCAACUACAUACCGUUUGGCUUAACCAUUCAUAAAAAGAUUCUGUAAACAACUUAUUGAUAUCUCGAUGUUGUGUUCUUCGGUUGCGCGAACGAGAUCUCAAUAUUUGUUUGUACUCACUAUAUAUGUUUAAAAAAUGUGAUCUUUGUUAGAAGAUAAACAAUUUUUAGUUUGAUAAAUAUUUAUAAAAUUUGUAGAACUUACUUCCGUAAAGGUUCCAAUGAUUCGUGGUGAAACAGAACAUAUCGAUGUGCUUGUACCCACGAUAAAUUAUCUAAUUCUGCAAUUUCAACUUUGCCGAUUGGUUGUCCAGAACUUUGGAACAAAUAAGUACUAUCGGCUAAGUUAUAGUCCGUGAGUCCAGCAUUCCUAUUUGGUCUGUUCAACCUUGUUUCGACAUCUUCCAAAUAUCUUGAGCAGAAGGUCAUACAUUCCUCUGCCAAGUAGCCUUCAGCAAUCGAUCCUUCUGGAUAUCGCUUGUUGCGGCAGUAAGACUUUAAUUUGGAUAGGAACCUAAACACAAUAUACAACAUUAUCAUAAGUUGUAACUAUAGGCAUAGAGGUGAAUGAAAGAAAAUUUUAAAAAUACUUCUUUAACACCUUUCUAUGGGAUACAUCCAUCGAUAGAAAACGGGUCCGCCAAGAAUUGUUUCGUCCGGGAGAUGAAUUAUCAAGCGAACCAUAAUGGUGAAGAAGGAAGGUGGGAAGAUUUAAGUUAUGUAAGCUCUGUAUUAUUUAUGCAUGUAAGUUGCGUAUUAUGUAUUAUUACGUAACUUAUUUAAGUUAUGCAAGUUAUAUAUUAAGUAGGUUAUGUAAGUUAUGUGUUAUGUAAAUGAAUAUAUGUAUAAUAUUAAAAAAAUAGUAAUACUUAUUUAAGUUAUAAAUUUAUUAUUAAUAAAAUUUAAAUAUAGCUUACAUACGUAAAUGAAUAUAUGUAUAAUAUUAAAAAAUAGUAAUACUUAUUUAAGUUAUAAAUUUAUUAUUAAUAAAAUUUAAAUAUAGCUUACAUACGUAAAUGAAUAUAUGUAUAAUAUUAAAAAAAUAGUAAUACUUAUUUAAGUUAUAAAUUUAUUAUUAAUAAAAUUUAAAUAUAGCUUACAUACGUAAAUGAAUAUAUGUACAAUAUUAAAAAAAUAGUAAUACUUAUUUAAGUUAUAAAUUUAUUAUUAAUAAAAUUUAAAUAUAGCUUACAUACGUAAAUGAAUAUAUGUAAGUUAUGUAAGUUAUUAUGUAAGUUAUGCAAGAUUAUAAUAUAAGUUAUGUAUUAUGUUAUUAUGUAUUAUGUAAUGUAUUAUCAGAUUAUAUAUAAGUUACGAAAGUUAUUAUGUAAGUUAUACAAGCUUAUAUAUAAGUUAUGUAUUAUGUUAUUAUGUAUUAUGUAAGUUAUGCAAGCUUAUAUACCAAUUAUGUAUUGUGUUAUUAUGUAUUAAGUUAUAUACUAAAUUUUUGUAAGUUAUCUAAAAUUAAACUUAAAAAUAAAUUAAAAGUUUGAAAUUUUUUUCCAUGAUUCAAAUUAAAUAAAAGAAAACAAAACAAACUAAAUUUCGGUGAUUAAAAUAGCAACUAAAGGAAAAACAUUUGUUUUGGAGGAAAACAUAUAAAUAUUUGCAAACUAUACGGGCUUUAACCAAAUGUUUAUAUUAUUUAGACAUAAAUAACCUUCAUUUUCGAAAUAAUUUACUUGUUAUAUGGAAUAAUAUGUAUACAACAGUUAACCAUAUUUGAUAUCAAUGAAACUGAAAUGUGAAAAGAAAUUGGAUUAAUUUGUUAUUGAAUGUAACGUAUAGUUCCGAAAUUUCGAAUAAUUUUAAAAUACAAAAUUUUAAUCCAAUUUAUUAAAUUUAUUAAAUUGCUUCUAUUUUGCUCAACAUAUAUAGCAAUCGUUGAUGGAUGAUAACAAAAAACAUAAGUCAGAAAAGUACAUGGCAAUUGUAAAAUAAGUAAAAUGAAACAUAAGCUAGAGGAAAAUAACCAAAACCAAUUACAUGUAUACAAAACCAGAGCCCCAAAAGAAACAUUUUUCAAAAAUCAUCUUGCUAUUUCCAUGUAAUAUUCACAAAAAGUCAGACCUUUUUAGUUUAUAGAUUUACUUACCACUAUAUUACAGUUUAAAAAUUUUAAAAAUACAAAAACUAAACUUGAUCAAAUUUCUGAAUCGGCAGUAAGUCCAUAUGAUUAACUGUGCAGUGACUAAUAAGUCCAUACUUCAACAACAAAUGUUAUCAUUAAUCUAGACAAUAAAAGCAAAAGAAUCAAAAAAAAAGAUUGAAUCUCAAAGUUCAGCCUAAUAAAGAGGCUGAAAGAAGAUUUAUACCAAAAAUAUUACUUUGCUCAGAAUGUAAUUUGAACUUACAAAUUUUGAACAGUGCUGUAGUGUUCCGUUCCUUGCCACUACUGGAUUUUUGUAAUAGUAUGUAUAGUUGCCCUGCCAUAGCAAACAGUAAUAGAUGUGAAUCAAUAGGUUUUGAGAAUGAAUCUCAACAUCAAUAACCUACCCCUCAUCUUGAGCUAUUUUCGACAGAAAAGAAAUAAAUGAUUAACCAAGGUAGUAACGUACUAAGUUUACAGAGAAGAAUUCUUCUCUUAAAACCAUGUUCAUUGUCUGAUCGAAAUGGUUAAGGUUAUGUAAAUUAUUACCUAAAAAUGUUCUUACUUUCUUAACCCUAAUUUGAAUUUACCGUAUUAAUACCUAAAAAUGUUCUUACUUUCUUAACCCUAGUUUGAAUUUUCUUAUUUCAAUGGCUACUUGUCACUUCAGUGGCUAUUUCUCAACUAAAUACGACGACCCUCAUCAGUCGGCUAGGUAGAAUAAAAACUGAAUUGCAUGUUUAAAAAUUAAACUCUACGAAAAAAAAGAAUAAUGUGAAAACUAAAAUAUGUGAAAACUACUGCAUUUCACGAAUAAAUAUAGAUGAAAAUGCUGAAAUAUGUGAAAAAUGAAAACCCUUGAACUACCGUCGGUAAGAGAACAAACCUCUAAGCUGGCGAUUUCAAGGUUGCCGAUUUCGGGAAACUCGUUGGGCUGCCGAUUUUCGGGUGAACUUAGGGAUUUCAGGGGGAAUUCUCUAAAAAUCUUAAAGUUUGGGGAACUAAUUAGGGCUGCUGGGGAAAUGAAUGUCGAAAGUCUGCUGGGGAAGAAGGGGGAAAUAAAAAUCAGAGUAAGAGGAAAACGGAGGGGAAGCAAACGACGACGUUUUGCUAAAUGAAAUAAACCCUUGUGGCAUUUAACUAGACGCGCCGCUAAAUCCAUGGCAAUUGCGGCGUUUAAAAACAAACGCCACUAAAAACCCACAAAAACGGUGACGUUUUCAUUAAUACAACACAAGGAAUUCCGGCGUUUUUGACAUUGCGCCUCUAAAUCCUGCAGCAUUUACGGCGUUUGACCAAAAACGCCACUAAAGAAGCUAUCAACACGGUGCCGUUUUGCUGAAAAUAGAUUCAGGGUAAGGGAAAAACAGAAGACAGUAAAACGAUGACGUUUGAGUAAUAGAAAUAAACUAUUGCGGCGUUUAUUAGAAACGCCACUAAAUUCCUACCUACUGCGGCGUUUAAUCCAAAACGCCACUAGAGAACCUCCAAAACGGCCGCGUUUGGGUUAAUAGAAAAUGACGUUUGCAUUAAUACAACACAAGGAAUUGCGGCGUUUUUGACAUUGCGCCUCUAAAUCCUGCACAUUUACGGCGUUUCACCAAAAACGCCCCUUGUGAAGUCAUUAACACGGCGUCGUUUAGAUAAAAAUAGAAUUAGAACGAGGGAGAAAAUGUAGGAGACCAAAACGACGGCGUUUUACUCUCUGCAAUAAAUGUUUGCGGCGUUUAACUAAAAACGCCGCUGGAUACACACAAAACACAGCCGUUUUGAUAAACACGGCACCGUUUUCAUUAAAAUAUCUUAUCUUUUUACGGCGUUUUCUGUAUUGCGCCGCUAUAGGUCUACAUAUUGCGGCGUUUCUCUGAAAACGCCACUAAAUAAGCCUAUUGAACGGCACCGUUUUUAUGACAACAUAAUUCCUUUAGUAUGAAAUUUGUUUCUAUAUUUGAAAGGUUUAAUUAUUUCUUAAAUAAAUUUAAAAUAAAUUUGUUUUGUUCCACGCUAUAUAUUUAAUAUGUAAAAUUUUAAUUAUAAUUGUGUACAUGAAAAUAAUUUUAAAUAAUAUCAAAACUCGAGCUAGAUAUAUGUCUUCCUUCUGAAGAAUAUUAUGUAAUUUUUUGUAUUAAAUUAAGAAGGCAAAGCUUAUGAUGUUACGAUAGAAUCGAAAAAAAUUAGAAGGAUCAAAACAAUCUGAAAUAGAAGUUCAUGAAUAUUGGUUAAUAGAAAGGAUCGAUAUAUAUAUAAUUCUAUUCCCUUGACUGAUCUUGAUUUUAGUUCAACUAGUAUUCGUGUCUGCGCCUGUCUUCAAACAAGAGCACGAACAUAUGACAUUGUAAGAACCCUACAAUUAGUAAGGGUGAAAAACGCUUCAUUAAAAACACUAAUUAAUCAAAACCCCGAAACACUAAACCCUAAAAUUAUACACCUUAAACACUAAUCCCAGUUACCCCUAAACUUUAAACCCCAACACUUAAACCCUAAAUUAACCGUAAAACAUAAUCACUAAACCCAUAAUCCAUAAACCUUAAAUUGUAACUCUUAAAUCUUAAACCAUAAACUUUAAAGCAUAACCCUUAAACCCUAAACUGUAAAACCAAACCCUAAAUAUAUUGUAAUAGCCCGAUUUUAGGCUUAGUCGGAACAGUGGUUUCGGGACCACAAAUCCGACGAAAAAAAAAAUGUAAUGGCUUGAAUUUUCAGAGGUGUCGGAACGGUGAUUCGAGAUCACUAAAUUCGACAAAUGGGUAGAAAAUAUUAUUAAUUUAGUAAGUAUAAGUUAAAUAUGAAGUUAGGAAAAUUUUUGAAAUAGUGAAUAGUGCACUAGAAAUAAAUAUUAAAAUAAUUAGAAUCGAAAUGAGGUAUCAAGACCUCGGGGAUUUUAAACUGAGCCAUAAAUAUUUUUAUAAAUAUUUAUGGAGUGUUAAAAAGUUAGUAUUAAAGUUUCGUUAAGAAAUUUUAAAGUUCCGAUAAUUAAUUGGACAAAAAGGACUAAAUUGUAACAAAUGCAAAAUUUUGGGAAAUGAUUAAAUAGCUUAAAUGAUAAAAGGAAGAGGGCUUAAAAAGCAAAUAGACCCAAGGUCUAUUUGGGCUGGACGGCAGAGGCAUGAAAUCAGCAAGAAAGUAAGGAGAAUUAAGGGCAAAAUUGGAAAAUUGCAAAAUUUGCUUAAUAAAGUUAGGACCCAAGUGGAAUUAUCUAGAUUUCUCUUCAUUUUUCUGAAUUCUCAUCAGCUAAAACACCAUGGAAGGGCUUCUUCAAGCUGGUUCUUCAUAUUUUUAUUACAAGUAAGUUCAAUUCUUGAUUAUUUCUUGAAAUUUUUGUAUUUUUAUGACUUUUACAACUAGGCCCACUUGUUAAAUUCAUUAGUUUUUGAUUUUAUGAAAGAAGUUGAAAUUUGAUAUGAAUAUGUGCUGGAAGUAUAUGAUGAUUUAGCAUGAAAUUAGAGCUUUAAAUUGUUCAUAUGCUGAUUUUAUUGAAAGAAUUGAAUAGAAAGUGAAUGUUUGGGACCUAAUAGUAAAAGAGUUUGAAGAUAGAGUUAUAUGUGGAAAUUCUGAAUUUCAAUAGUUGUGUAACAACUUAUAAUGUCUAGUAAAGUACUAAUUGAGAAAAUUAGAUUAAUUGAGGGGUUAAUUGAGAAAGGACCGAAUUGUAUAAACUGUGAAAUUUGGGGCAAAAUGGAAAUCAACAUUUUGCACUAAAGCAGUUUUGGACAGCAGCAGUAGUGUAACUUUGAAAAAUCACCAAAAAUUGUAAAGAUUGAAUUAGAGGAUGAAUAAAAUAUGAAAUUAAAGCUUAUUGAGUCUAGUUUCUUAUAAAAGAAAUGAUGUGAGCAAUGGAAUUGUAAAUCAUGAGAUAUAAUAGAUUUUGUGAGACAAGGUCAGAAUGAAUUCGGGUUCCCCUGUUCUGACUUUGGAAAAUCAUUAAAAAUUGUACAGAAAUUAUUAUGAGUUAUAGUUUAUAUGGUUAGAAUCCUUAAUGAGUCUAUUUUUAGAAGAAACAAGCUAAAACAUCAUCCGAAUUCUGUACAAUGAGAUAAUUAAUUUUUAGUGAAGAGUGGUCGGAACUGUCAGACAGCGAAACAGGGGAAACUUUAAAGAAUAAACUGUACUAUUUGGCUGAACCAAAAAUUAUGAAAAUUUUAUGGUAUGAAGACAUGUGAGUCUAGUUUCAGGGAAAAUUAACGGAUCUUAAUUUGGAGCUCUGUAGCUCCGGAUAAAAAUAAUUUAGUGACUCUGACUCGGAUAAACAGCUUUGAAUAUACAUGUUAGUGAAUAUUGAAAUUAUGGUUAAUGUUGUUUAAGUGUGUUAUACACAUUAAGAAUGUGGAAUGGAGAGGAGGAGGAGGAAAAUUGGGAAAUAUAUGAAUGAUUCGUGUAUAAAUGGUCAUAUGUUUGAUUAUAACUCAUAAACGAUGAAAUAUGAAUGAUGCUUAUUUUUGUGCAUUAUUGGUCAUGGUUUAAGCUCAUGUGUGAAAAUAAAGUUUCAUAGUAUGUGUGUAUGGUAUAUUCAGUAUAUGAUUUGGCAUGAAAUAAUACCAUGAAUGGUUUAUGAAUUAAUACAUGUUGGUAAGCCUGAUAUAUGAAUAAAUGAUCAAAUUGAGCGGAACGCCGGAUUUGAGUACUUCUGAUCAAGUGAUAAAGUGAUAAGUGGUAACUUUAGCUACACUUAUCUGAUCAAGUGACAAGUGGAAAGUGAUAAGUAAUAGCUUCGGCUAUACUUAUCUGAUCAAGUGAUAAAGUGAUAAGUGAUAGCUUCGGCUAUACUUAUCUGAUCAAGUGACAAAGUGAUAAGUGAUAGCUUCAGCUACACUUAUCUGAUCAAGUGACAAGUGGAAAGUGAUAAGUGAUAGCUUCGGCUACACUUAUCUGAUCAAGUGAUAAGUGAAAAGUGAUAAGUGAUAGCUUCGGCUAUACUUAUCUGAUCAAGAGACAAAGUGAUAAGUGAUAGCUUUAGCUACACUUAUCUGAUCAAGUGACAAAGUGAUAAGUGGCUACACUUAUCUGAUCAAGAAACAAAGUGAUAAGUGGCUACACUUAUCUGAUCAAGAAACAAAGUGAUAGGUGGCUACACUUAUCUGAUCAGGGACAAGUGAUAAGUGAUCAUACGUAAGACCAUAGUUAUACUAUGGCAAAGUGAAAGUGAAGUACUCAAUUUUCCGUGACCGUUCCCUAAUUUGAUUAAGGAUGGUAAGUGACAAAUGGGCCCAAAAGAAUUAAAGUAAAUGGAUAAGUGGUAGUGUAUUUAUAUCAGGACAAUGUUGUUAUUCAAACUAAAGUGAUAUUUUCAUUGCUAAAUUGAGAAUUUCAUAAAUGUGUUAUUGAAUGGUAUAAUCAAUAAACAUUGAGUUAAAUGGUAAAUACGUAUUAGUUUUGAAUUUGAUGUCAUUGAAUUGUACGUGAAUUAAAUGGAAAUUUCUAGUGAUAUGAUUUAAAUUAUGAGCAUGAGAAAUUGCGAAUUGAAUGAAAUGGAAAUGAAGCAUUAAAUUGCAUGAGUAUGUAUCGGGUCUCGCAGGCCCUAAUUAUUAUGAUUAUAAUAUUUUGAGGAUAUAUUGUGAAAAGUUAUAGAAACAUGUUAAUUAUUUUUGAAAGUUUUAAUUUUGAUGAAAUUUUAUAACUCGGUUAAAUACGUUUACAAGUGUAUGUGUUUUGGUAAUGCCUCGUACCCUAUUCCGGUGUUGGAUACGGGUAAGGGGUGUUACAUAUAUCCCCACAACCCCUUAAAGCAUAACCCCUAAAUCCCCCUAACCCCUAAAUCAUAACACCUAACCCUUAAACCACAAAACCUUGAACCUUAAUUCCCAAACCUUAAAUCCAUACCCCGACCUACUCAUUAAACUCUAAACCAUAUACUAUAAUGAUAAUUAAUUCAAUAUUUUAAAAUUAAUACUACCUUUUUUACGAUUAUAUAAUAAAUUAUUUAAUAUAUAAACUAAAAAAAUCAGUAAUGUAUCCAAAAAACUUUAAAAAUAUUUUAAAUAAAUUUAUUUAAAUCCCUGAGCAUUAGCGGCGCUUUAUUAAAAAUGCCGCUAAACCCCUGAAAGCUAAGAAAACGGUGUCGUUGGGUUUAAUUUUUUUUGCGGCGCUUUCAUAAAAGCGCCGCUAAAAACCCAGCAUUAGCGACGCUUUACUAAAAACGCCGCUAAACCCCCGAAAGCAAAGAAAACGAUGUCGUUGGGUUUAAUUUUUUUGCGGCGCUUCCAUAAAAACGCCGCUAAAGCCCUGCAUUAGCGGCGCAUUAUUAAAAACGCCGCUAAACCCCCCGGAAGCUUAGAAAACGGCAUCGUUGUGCUUAGUUUUUUGCGGCGCUUUAGCAAAAGCGCCGCUAAUCUUAUUUUCAGUGGCGUUUUCAAUUAAGCGCCGCUAAUGAUCGAUCUUUAGCGGCGUUUGUUAUUAAAACGCCGCUAAAUACGCCGCUAAAAGCCUAUUUUGGUGUAGUGUAAGAACAAAUGUAUCUUCAUCUGGCACAUCCAAACGUAAAAGAAAAAGUGGUCAAGAAAGUCUCGUUGACGAACAAAUUAAAUUUGUGGGUGAGCAACUUGGCGAAAUUGCUAAUGCUUUGAAACAAUUUACUGCCGACAAGACAGCACAACUUUACGAACAAGUGAUGUCGAUGGAGGAAGAAGGAUUUGAUGAUGAAUUCUUGUGUUCUGUGUGUGAUUAUCUAGGGAGUCAUGAAUCAGAGGCCAAAAUGUUUUUAGUUAAAAGUAAGAAGCAUAGAAAAAUUUGGCUUCAAAAAUUUUCUCAGGGUUGAAGAUAUUGAUACUUUUAUGUGGUGUAAUAUUAUGGACUUGGACAAUGUUGUUAUUAUGUGGUGUACUACUAAUUAUGUAUUUGGAUAAUAUUAUUUCUAGUACUCAUUAUGGUUUCGAAGCAAUUUAUAAUUAUUCAAUAUUCUUACUAGUACUCAUUGUGGAUAAUAUUUUUUCAAUUUAUAACGAUCAAUAUUGUAGCUUAUUAUUGAGUAUUAUUAUAAAUAAAUCAUAGCAAUAUAUGUAAAAACAAUUUAAAAUAUAAAAAAUUAUUAAUAUAUAUUAAUAUAUGUAAAAAAUAACUUUUCCGGAAAAUAUUUUCAGGAAAUCUAUCAAACAGCGGAAAAUAUUUUACAUAGAUUCAAUCAAACACCAGAAAAUAUUUUCCAGUAAGUCAUUUUACAGAAAAGUAAAACAUUUUCCAGAAAUCAUUUUACGGAAAACAUUUUACUGCCAAUCAAACAGACCCUCAAAGUGUGAUAAAAAAAUUAGAUAGCAAAAUAAGAAAAAAUAUAUUUUUUUAACAAUCUUAUUAUACAUUUUUUUAUCAUAUUUACUUUUUUUUGACAGAAAAGUUCUGGUGAAUUCGAUUUUUUUUAAUGGUUUAAAUUAUUGUUUGAUUUUAAGAUUUUCAAUCAAUUUAAAUUUAACUGUGGAAAAUACAUCAUUUUUAACGGAAAUUUGAAUUUUUAUCAAAGUUACGCAACUAUGUUAUUCUUCUCUUGAUGUACUGUUUUUGGGUUUUGGAUCUCUAAUUUGAUUGGUUCAUUUUCUAUUUUUUGUUUAAAUUCUGGGUUUAUGGGGUUUUUAGAAAAAUAUUCCUGGGUUUUAAAAGAAAGAUCCUGGCUUUUCUUGUUUAUGGAUGUCCUUAUCUGAUCUUGAUUAGGUUAAUUGAGUUAAUUCUUGAUAUCUUCUAUAUUUGUUUAACUAAAAAAUUAAAAAUUAUAUAAAUUUUAGUUAAUUUUUUUUUAAAAAAAUUUGAUUCUAUUAACGAUUAAGAUUUUAUAAAAGGAUCAGUUAAUUUGAUUAAUGAUAUAUAACUCAGGUCGGUUAACCGAUUGAACACACUUGGCUAAUCAAGCUAAAAAGAGAUAUUAAAUGUUAUUAAAAUUUGAUUUUCCUUCCAUCCAAACGAAAUAAUAUUUAAAAGGUAUGAUUCUCAGGCUAUAUUAAUAAGUGUAGCCCUUUCCAGUGUGAUUCACUUGGGAUUUUUCUCCCCCUCACAAAUUUUGAGUAGGUUGGAAGAUUUCUCUCAGAAAAAGAAAAAAAAAACCAUGGAAAAUGUCAAGGAUACAAUAGCAAACCUACCUAAAGAUGAUGGCUGGAACGCUGGGUAUCCACUCUACCACUACCAAGGCUUUUGGUGCAGCCCCAACUUCAUAGAAGAUAUAAUAUUGUCCCAAGAAGGCUUCAAAGCUGAACCAACUGAUAUCUUUGUGUGCAGUGCCCCCAAAAGUGGCUCCACUUGGCUCAAGGCUCUCACCUUUGCCAUCGUUACUCGAACCCGCUACGACACUUCCACCAGUCCUUUGCUCAGCAAGGUCUCUCACGAUUGCAUUCCCACGUUAUCCAAUUCCGGCAAGAAGCUAGAUAUCUGCGAGCCUGGACUUCCUCUAAUUAGCACCCACACACCCUACCAUGCCUUGCCAAAAUCUGUCCUCAACUCUGACUGCAAAGUUGUUUAUAUUUGUAGGGAGCCAAAGGAUGCAUUCGUUUCACUGUAUCAUUUUCUAGCCAAGCGAGCUCCCAACAAAGAAUCACCUUUCCCUGGAGAAGGCUUUCGUUCUUUUCUGUGAAGGCAAGUCUUUCUAUGGACCCUAUUUGGACCAUGUUUUAGGGUUUUGGAAAGCAAGUCAGGAGAAACCACACAAGGUUCUGUUCCUCAAAUAUGAAGAAAUGAUGAAAGACACGGAGCCAUAUGUGAAGAAAUUGGCAGAGUUCAUGGGGUACCCUAUUUCACGGGAGGAAGGAGAAGUGGGAGCAGUGCAGGAAAUAGUGAGGCUAUGUAGUUUUGAGAAUCCGAGCAACUUGGAUGUAAACAAGACGGGGGUAAAGCAACAAACAAAGGCCAAAGUUGAAAACAAUUUCUACUUCAGGAAAGGCAAGGUUGGGGAUUGGAAGAAUUAUCUAACAACUGAGAUGGAGGAGCGUUUAGACAAGCUCAUGGACCAAACUUUUGCUGGAACUGGUAAUUAGAGUUAGGGCAUCGUGGUUAAGUCUGAUUAUAGCUUGCUUGCUGUUAGUUAAUAAAUUUGAAGAUUCCAAUCUUCUUGAAAUAUGUGUUGUGUUUGUUUGCUUGCUUGCUCCAUUUCCAACGUAUUGUUGAAAAUGAGAAGUUAGUUCCUUGUUUGGAACCAAUCUGUGAUUUUCAAGGCUGAAUCAACUCUACUUUCUACUUAUUACUACAAGCCAAACAUGGCAUUUUUUUUUUGAUAUGUGAAUAGUAAGAAGCUGGCUAACAAUAUUGGAAAGCCAGAAGCACCUAUGAAUUCUGAUUAAAUGUUCUUUAUUAUCGCACCUUUUUUUUCCAUUUAAUCUUAUCAUCCACACGCUUUUUUACAUUUGUUUUUAUGGUAUUUUUUUAAAAUAUAAAAUAAUAUAUCAUGAGCAGAAAAAAAAAACUGAUUUUAAAAAAUAUCUAGAGAAAUAUUGAUUUUUUAGAGAGAAACAAAAAACAUGUCUAUGGCACGUUUUCUAACUUUUCCAACAUAUCAACUUUUUGUAUCAGAUGAUUAAAUAUUAAUGAUUUUGUCUUUAAGCACCGAGUUUGACUCCCUCUCCUAAUCAUAUUUAUAUUUAUAUUUAUGUUGUUUUAAGCUUGGUUUUUAUUUUUAAUUACUAAUUUUAUUACAUUAAAUUUUUUUAGUUAGGUUUGAUUUCCCUUGUAAGCAUAUUUCUAUUUUUUAUUCUACAUCGUUUCAAGCUUUUUUUAAUCAAUAAAUAUAUUGUUUUCAAGUUUUUUUAUAUUUUUAAUUAAUCUUUUUAAUUAAUAACUCUUUUAUUUAUAAAAUAAAAUAGUUAUUUCCAAAUAUAAUUAUUUAUGUAAAUAUGAUUUUUAUAUGUGUAAUAUUUAUUUUUUCAAUCCAUAUCAUGAGUGUAGUGAAUUUUAGUAUAUUAUAUUUUUGUAUGUGUAUUUAAAAUAUUUCACAUUUAAACAUUAUGAUAUUUGAUAUAAUCAAUUGAAAUAUUUCACAUAUAAAAGUGUUUGAAAUGUCAUACCUGUAAUAGGCCAAUUUGCCCGGGCCCAAAAGCACAAACACAGAUAAACCAAAAAAAAAUAAGCAGUCCAUUUUACAUGUCCAUUUACAGACUUUAGGCCCAAUACAAACUAACCCAAUGUAUAGCCUAACACCAGCCAAAUUCUACCCUGACCCAAUACAAAAGACCCAAGUCACCUAACCCUAACCCAAAACUCUAGCCCAGCCCAAAACCCAACUCAGCCCCAAACACCGAAAACCCUAACAGCAGCAGGAGCCUCCUGCGCCGCUGCCACGCACGCCUCUCCCCAUGCGCGUGGUGCCACGUCCGCUGCCUCCGUACGCUAGCUGGCCUCCGUACCUGCAGGAGACGAACAAACAAGCAGAAAAGUAGACCACAACGGCAAAAGGAGCAGCAAUUGACAGAAAUAGGGGCAGUAAAUAUAAAAAUUGUAAAAAAAUUUUAUUUCUUUGUCUCUAUUCAGCUAUAAAAAAGGGGCCGAUUGAACUUUGUAAGGGGGACGCAUAUUGAAAUACAAAAGAAAUUCAAAGAAAAAAGGGGAAUACUCGUAAGGUGAUUCAAAAUCCUCUCUUCGCCUUUCUCUGUUUUUCUUUAGUUCUAUUAUUCAUUUUUAGUGUAGAAAUAAAAAAGAAUAAGACUAGAAAGAUAGGAGUUCACCUGGAGGCCAGAUCUUUGUUCCCUCCGUCGUAAUCGGGGUCGAACGGAGGUUUGGAGGGUUGAUGAACGACGAUUCGGCGAGCAGCGCAAAGGGGAGAGUUUAGGUUUAGUUUUUAAGUGAGGGUGUUAGAUUUUUUAGGUUUAUUUAGGUUUUAAACACGGGACUAAAACAUCGCCGUUGGAUGCUAGCGUAAUAGCUUCAAAACGGUGUCGUUUGGUGACCAGAUCCAGGCGGUGACUCGAUCCGAGGUGGGAUCCGCACAUACUGGGCUAAUUGGUCUAUUUGCUAAAUAGGUCCUUGUGUGUUUACUGAAACUGCGUUUUAAUUUUUUUAAUUGUUUGUAAUUUGUACGGCAUAUUUGAUAUCGUUUUCAUUUAGAUCCAAGCUUAAACGGCGUCGUUCGGUGCCGAGACCCGCGCGGUGACCCGACUCGAGGGUAGGAUCCGCGUACAUGGGUUCUUCAGUUUAUUUACGCAAUAAGUCCUUUUUUUUCUUGUGUUGUUUCAAUCUGAUUUUGUUUAUUUUUUUUAAUUUGUACCGCACAUCUGGCUUCGAUUUCAUUUUGAUCAAUUUUUAAACGGUGCCGUUUGCAACGCUCGAUUGUAAUUAUUUUAUUGCUCACGUUUAAUUGCUAGUUUAGUCCUUCAAUGU